ACGAAGCACAUUUAAUAGUGUAUUUAUUGUGGUUUAAUAAAAAGCUUAUUAUAUAUUUAGAUGAACCAACCUAUUUCUUUAAGGAUUCUAAGAAUCAUUUUAAUGAUGACAUGUGGUUACAAAAAAAUGUUGCAAUGCUUUUCAAAUAAUAUAUAGGGGAUUGUCUUCAUCUGUAGUUGAUAUAUAUUUUAUUUUGUGCCACGAUUCUAUGAGAUCCAUUAAUGUUGAAUGGAUUGCUUGGAUCGACUAUUUUUUGUUAACAAAUGAGAUAUGCUUAGUCUGUUUGACUCAAUCGUUUAAUUUAACAAUGGUUACUGUAGGGGUUUGUGUUGAUUUUAAUUUACCAAAUCACAAAUUAAAUUAUCAUUUUCUGUGUGCUGGGUGGGAGAAUAAUUAUUGACACACACUAUCGGUGGCUCUCCUAUGUAGUUUCAUGCAUCUUUGGUUUCAAGGUCCACCACUUCCACAUUUUCUUGAAGCAUUCAUUUGAUAAUAAUGAUGUAUUUUUCUUAAGAAUCAAUUCAAAAUUUCACAAUUCCUUUAAUCCUCUCUCAGUACCAAUAACAUUAAUGUCUUAUGAAUCUAUUUGCAAUUGGUCCAAGUUUUAGGAUCUUUUGAAUAAGAAAAACUUUGUUUAUACAACGACAAGAGAGUGUGCCAAUUACAAAAGGGACUUUAGUGCGCAAAAUUAAUAUCGUUCAUAGAAUUUUGCUUUUGAUUUUUCAACGAAACUUGGAACCAAUCACGGGUUUCCUUUGUAUAUUCCUUUUCAACCAAUCUGAUGAUAGUUGACUUUUCCAAAAGUCUGUUAGUAGUUUUUUCUUUCCAUUACAUUACGCAUAGGGAAAUUUGAUGCUAUAACCUAAAAAUUUAUAAUUCACAAAGUAAAUAUAGCAAACUGAUGACUAUGAUAUAAUACAUAUUAUUGAUAGGGUGCACGAAAUAUCCUUUUUAUAAACGCUUGUCUACUCUCAUCUGAUACAAUUAUCAAACAGAAUGAAAAAUAAAGCAGAGGCAUAAAGAAGAGGCACGAGAUUUAAAACAAAAAAAAAUUGAUGGGUUCAAGGAAAAUGGUUUAUAACAUUUUUUUAGUAGCUUGAGUUUGUGUGAUCUUGGUAAAGUUACAAUCGCUUUUUGAAGGACUGAGAAAUUUGAUCGUCGGUGUCAGAAAAAAUGAAAACGAUGAUAAACAGUUACCAUUUAGUGUACUAUUCUAUUUUAUCAUGAAAAAUAGAAUAUAAUUUUUUUUCACAGUAAGUAAUUAUAAUUUAUAAGUUAUGUAUUAUUCUAUUUUAUUACGAAAACAUAGAAUAAAUAUAUGAUUUCACACUAAUAGAAUAUGUGUUACUUUUUCUUCUUCUCCUUCCUUUAUUCUUUUUCAUCUAAUUUGAGACUUUUUUAUCCGUUAAAAACAAUAAAUUUCCGGUAAAAAAUAGAUAAACAUUUUUGUACCAAUUCUUGCAUACACUAUAGUAUACUAUUCUAUUUUAUGAUGAUAUUAUAGAAUGUUAAAACCUCCUCCUCAUCUUCUCCUCCCUCUCCUCCUUUGCUGCGAACAACGACCUCCUCUGCUCUUAUCUUAUUGCCGAGAACAUUAGCGGAGGAACGACUUCUCGCGAGUUCUAGGAGAAUGAAGCCGAGAUUGACAGAGGAGGUUGAGAUGAUCGAUAUCUCCCGGUGGGAAUAGGCCAUAAAGGAAAGAGGGAGAGGGGAGAUGAGGACAUUCCUAAUCCUAGAGUGAGUACACACUACCUACGACUUCGACCUCGAACUUUGUUCUCUAAUUCUCAAUACUUAGCCCUUAAUUUUAGUUCUUGUAACCCAAUCUAUUUGCUCACUGUAUUUAAUAUACCUUUAUUAAUAUAUUUAAAGUCUAUUUAUUGUUGACUGGAAUCUGAUU
Molecule: long non-coding RNA, 1900 nt
Organism: Brassica rapa (field mustard)
Lineage: Eukaryota; Viridiplantae; Streptophyta; Magnoliopsida; Brassicales; Brassicaceae
Source: RefSeq, a predicted model, not a curated record